GACGAACGCUGGCGGCGUGCCUAAUACAUGCAAGUUGAGCGCUGAAGGUUGGUACUUGUACCGACUGGAUGAGCAGCGAACGGGUGAGUAACGCGUGGGGAAUCUGCCUUUGAGCGGGGGACAACAUUUGGAAACGAAUGCUAAUACCGCAUAAAAACUUUAAACACAAGUUUUAAGUUUGAAAGAUGCAAUUGCAUCACUCAAAGAUGAUCCCGCGUUGUAUUAGCUAGUUGGUGAGGUAAAGGCUCACCAAGGCGAUGAUACAUAGCCUACCUGAGAGGGUGGUCGGCCACAUUGGGACUGAGACACGGCCCAAACCCCUAAGGGAGGCAGCAGUAGGGAAUCUUCGGAAAUGGACGAAAGUCUGACCGAGCAACGCCGCGGGAGUGAAGAAGGGUGUCGGAUCGGAAAACUCGGUUGGUAGAGAAGAAAGUUGGUGAGAGUGGAAAGCUCAUCAAGUGACGGUAACUACACAGAAAGGGACGGCUAACUACGUG
This 497-nucleotide ribosomal RNA is filed under the name uncultured bacterium. Its description in RNAcentral is "partial 16S ribosomal RNA". It matches the Rfam family "Bacterial small subunit ribosomal RNA", at positions 28 to 507 of the family's 1533-position model. The record is from RNAcentral.